This 72-nucleotide transfer RNA is filed under the name Entransia fimbriata. RNAcentral's name for it is "tRNA-His". It matches the Rfam family "tRNA". From Rfam's summary of the family: Transfer RNA (tRNA) molecules are approximately 80 nucleotides in length. Their secondary structure includes four short double-helical elements and three loops (D, anti-codon, and T loops). Further hydrogen bonds mediate the characteristic L-shaped molecular structure. tRNAs have two regions of fundamental functional importance: the anti-codon, which is responsible for specific mRNA codon recognition, and the 3' end, to which the tRNAs corresponding amino acid is attached (by aminoacyl-tRNA synthetases). tRNAs cope with the degeneracy of the genetic code in two manners: having more than one tRNA (with a specific anti-codon) for a particular amino acid; and 'wobble' base-pairing, i.e. permitting non-standard base-pairing at the 3rd anti-codon position. The record is from RNAcentral. Lineage: Eukaryota; Viridiplantae; Streptophyta; Klebsormidiophyceae; Entransiales; Entransiaceae.
GCGAGUGUGGCCAAAUGGUAAGGCAUAGGUUUGUGGUUCCUUGAACUGCGGGUUCGAUUCCCGUCAUUCGCC